UUUAAUGAGAGUUUGAUCCUGGCUCAGGACGAACGCUGGCGGCGUGCCUAAUACAUGCAAGUAGAACGCUGAGGUUUGGUGUUUACACUAGACUGAUGAGUUGCGAACGGGUGAGUAACGCGUAGGUAACCUGCCUCAUAGCGGGGGAUAACUAUUGGAAACGAUAGCUAAUACCGCAUAAGAGUAAUUAACACAUGUUAGUUAUUUAAAAGGAGCAAUUGCUUCACUGUGAGAUGGACCUGCGUUGUAUUAGCUAGUUGGUGAGG
Molecule: ribosomal RNA, 266 nt
Filed under: Streptococcus agalactiae str. Gottschalk 2864
Lineage: Bacteria; Bacillati; Bacillota; Bacilli; Lactobacillales; Streptococcaceae
Description: partial 16S ribosomal RNA
Rfam family: Bacterial small subunit ribosomal RNA
Source: RNAcentral